UACGGAGGGUGCGAGCGUUAAUCGGAAUCACUGGGCGUAAAGCGCGCGUAGGCGGCUUUUCAAGUCAGGGGUGAAAUCCCACGGCCCAACCGUGGAACUGCCUUUGAAACUGUAGAGCUUGAGUGUCGAGGAGGGUGGCGGAAUUCCAGGUGUAGGAGUGAAGUCCGUAGAUAUCUGGAGGAACACCGGUGGCGAAGGCGGCCACCUGGACGACAACUGACGCUGAGGUGCGAAAGCGUGGGUAGCAAACAGG
This 253-nucleotide ribosomal RNA is filed under the name uncultured bacterium. Its description in RNAcentral is "partial 16S ribosomal RNA". It matches the Rfam family "Bacterial small subunit ribosomal RNA", at positions 524 to 776 of the family's 1533-position model. The record is from RNAcentral.